AUUGAACGCUGGCGGCAUGCUUUACACAUGCAAGUCGAACGGUAACAGGCCGCAAGGUGCUGACGAGUGGCGUACGGGGGAGUAAUGCAUCGGAACGUGCCCAGUCGUGGGGGAUAACUACUCGAAAGAGUAGCUAAUACCGCAUACGAACUAUGGAUGCAAGCGGGGGACCGUAAGGCCUCGCGCGAUUGGAGCGGCCGAUGUCAGAUUAGGUAGGUGGUGGGGUAAAGGUGCACCAAGCCAACGAUCUGUAACUGGUCUGAGAGGACGACCCGCCACACUGGGACUGAGAAACGGCCCAGACUCCUACGGGAGGCAGCAGUGGGGAAUCUUGGACAAUGGGCGCAAGCCUGAUCCAGCAAUGCCGCGUGCAGGAAGAAGGCCUUCGGGUUGUAAACUGCUUUUGUACGGAACGAAACGGCUCUGGUUAAUACCCGGGGCUAAUGACGGUACCGUAAGAAUAAGCACCGGCUAACUACGUG
This 482-nucleotide ribosomal RNA is filed under the name uncultured bacterium. RNAcentral describes it as "partial 16S ribosomal RNA". It matches the Rfam family "Bacterial small subunit ribosomal RNA", at positions 30 to 507 of the family's 1533-position model. The record is from RNAcentral.